CAAGUCGAACGAGAAAGUGGAGCAAUCCAUGAGUAAAGUGGCGCACGGGUGAGUAACACGUGACUAACCUACCCUUGAGUGGGGAAUAACCUAGGGAAACCUGGGCUAAUACCGCAUAACACCUACGGGUCAAAGGAGCAAUUCGCUUAAGGAGGGGGUCGCGGCAGAUUAGCUAGUUGGCGGGGUAAUGGCCCACCAAGGCGGUGAUCUGUAUCCGGCCUGAGAGGGCGCACGGACACACUGGAACUGAAACACGGUCCAGACUCCUACGGGAGGCAGCAGUGGGGAAUUUUGCGCAAUGGGGGAAACCCUGACGCAGCAACGCCGCGUGGAGGAUGAAGUCCCUUGGGACGUAAACUCCUUUCGAUCGGGACGAUUAUGACGGUACCGGAGGAAGAAGCCCCGGCUAACUUCGUGCCAGCAGCCGCGGUAAUACGAGGGGGGCAAGCGUUGUUCGGAAUUAUUGGGCGUAAAGGGUGCGUAGGCGGUUCGGUAAGUCUUAUGUGAAAUCUUCAGGCUCAACUUGAAGUCUGCAUGAGAAACUGCCGGGCUUGAGUGUGGGAGAGGUGAGUGGAAUUUCCGGUGUAGCGGUGAAAUGCGUAGAUAUCGGAAGGAACACCUGUGGCGAAAGCGGCUCACUGGACCAUAACUGACGCUGAUGCACGAAAGCUAGGGGAGCAAACAGGAUUAGAUACUCUGGUAGUCCUAGCCCUAAACGAUGAUCGCUUGGUGUGACGGGUACCCAAUCCCGCCGUGCCGAAGCUAACGCGUUAAGCGAUCCGCCUGGGGAGUACAGUCGCAAGGCUGAAACUCAAAGGAAUUGACGGGGCCCGCACAAGCGGUGGAGCAUGUGGUUUAAUUCGACGCAACGCGAAGAACCUUACCUGGGCUCGAAAUGUACAGGAAUCCGGUGGAAACAUCGGCGCCCGCAAGGGGCCUGUAUAUAGGUGCUGCAUGGCUGUCGUCAGCCCGUGU
Molecule: ribosomal RNA, 975 nt
Filed under: uncultured bacterium
Lineage: Bacteria
Description: bacterial SSU rRNA
Rfam family: Bacterial small subunit ribosomal RNA
Source: RNAcentral